This 384-nucleotide ribosomal RNA is filed under the name Triticum aestivum (bread wheat). Its description in RNAcentral is "partial small subunit ribosomal RNA". Lineage: Eukaryota; Viridiplantae; Streptophyta; Magnoliopsida; Poales; Poaceae. The record is from RNAcentral.
AUGAUUCCCGAGCUUUUCAUGAUGAUGAAAUCGAUGAAGGUAGAAAUCAAGAAAAAACAUCAAGUGUUGAUGAUUAACAAGACCACUAGUUUCAAGAAAAGGGCAAAGGGAAAGAAAGGGAACUUCAAGAAGAACGGCAAGCAAAUUGCUGCUCAAGUGAAGAAUCCCAAGUUUGGACCUAAGCCUGAGACUAAGUGCUUCUACUGCAAAGGGACUGGUCAUUGGAAGCGGAAAUGCCCUGAAUAUUUAGUGGAUAAGAAGGAUGGGAAAGUGAACAAGGGUAUAUUUGAUAUACAGGUUAUUGAUGUGUACCUUACUAGUAUUUAUAGUAGCCCUGGGUAUUUGAUACUUGUUCGGUUGCUAAAAAUUAGUAACUCGAAAUAG